Molecule: ribosomal RNA, 342 nt
Filed under: Ligilactobacillus murinus
Lineage: Bacteria; Bacillati; Bacillota; Bacilli; Lactobacillales; Lactobacillaceae
Description: bacterial SSU rRNA
Rfam family: Bacterial small subunit ribosomal RNA
Source: RNAcentral
AGCAGUAGGGAAUCUUCCACAAUGGGCGAAAGCCUGAUGGAGCAACGCCGCGUGGGUGAAGAAGGUCUUCGGAUCGUAAAACCCUGUUGUUAGAGAAGAAAGUGCGUGAGAGUAACUGUUCACGUUUCGACGGUAUCUAACCAGAAAGCCACGGCUAACUACGUGCCAGCAGCCGCGGUAAUACGUAGGUGGCAAGCGUUAUCCGGAUUUAUUGGGCGUAAAGGGAACGCAGGCGGUCUUUUAAGUCUGAUGUGAAAGCCUUCGGCUUAACCGGAGUAGUGCAUUGGAAACUGGGAGACUUGAGUGCAGAAGAGGAGAGUGGAACUCCAUGUGUAGCGGUGA